This 301-nucleotide ribosomal RNA is filed under the name uncultured bacterium. RNAcentral's name for it is "partial 16S ribosomal RNA". It matches the Rfam family "Bacterial small subunit ribosomal RNA", at positions 509 to 807 of the family's 1533-position model. The record is from RNAcentral.
CAGCAGCCACGGUAAUACGUAGGUGGCAAGCGUUGUCCGGAAUUAUUGGGCGUAAAGGGCUCGCAGGCGGUUUCUUAAGUCUGAUGUGAAAGCCCCCGGCUCAACCGGGGAGGGUCAUUGGAUACUGGGAAACUUGAGUGCAGAAGAGGAGAGUGGAAUUCCACGUGUAGCGGUGAAAUGCGUAGAGAUGUGGAGGAACACCAGUGGCGAAGGCGACUCUCUGGUCUGUAACUGACGCUGAGGAGCGAAAGCGUGGGGAGCGAACAGGAUUAGAGACCCCGGUAGUCCCUGUCUCUUAUAC